Oreochromis aureus is the source of this 1039-nucleotide long non-coding RNA. The record is from Ensembl. NCBI's taxonomy places the organism in Eukaryota, Metazoa, Chordata, Actinopteri, Cichliformes, Cichlidae.
ACAAGAGAUACUUCAACUCCUCCACUUUGGGCAGCAACUCACCCCUGACCUGGACUGGGGACUAUGACCUCAGAAUUGGAAAUCCUGAUUCUCGUUCCUGCAGCUUUGGGUGUGAGCUGCUCCAGUGCAAGCUGGAGGCCACCACUUAAAGAAGGCAAUGACCCCACAUGGUCCUCAAAAAGUCGAGAUGAGGCUCUGAGGCCACCAAGAUGGAAGUGUUCUGUUGCCUGGCUUUGCCUGGAAAUUCUCAGUUCAAAUUAUUUGUGACAGCAUGAACCAAACUCUCACUUUACAGGGACCAAAUGGCUCAUAGCAAGUGGCCAGACACCCCAUGCUCCCGAAGCACCUCCCACAGGAGACUCACAGGGAUGCAGUCGAAUCCCUGUGAUAAGUCCACAAAACACAUGUGGAUGGGCAAACUCCCAUGCACUCUCAAACAUCCUUGAGAGGAUAAAGGGAAGAUCCACGACCGGACGAAACCACAUUUGUUUAUUUUCAGGAAGUGACAGUCAGCAACAGGAAGUGUUGGACCUGAAAUAAACACAACAUCCAGAUGAUCCAGUGAGACUGAAGAAAACCCAGAGGUGGCAUACGACCUGGUACUAAAUACAUUAGAGGGUUCCCCAGGCAACCAGAACGUGGAGUGUCCACCAGCAACCGAUCGUCAGCUGCAAAGCAGAGUAUGACGAGUAUGACCAGCGACUUCAGAGGCCACACCCUUGACAAUGCACACUUCAAUCCAGUGUUGUAUGUUGGAGCAGCAGUUUAUCGGCAGCUGAGAGGAAGAGGUUGGAUAAACUCAUCAGGAAGGCCAGCUCUGUUCUGGGAUGCACCCUGGACCCAGUGCAGGUGGUGGGAGACAGAAGGACUCUGGCCAAAAUAACAUCUCUGAUGGACAGAGUCUCCCACCCCAUGCACGGAAAUGUUGCUGAACUGCAGAGCUCCUUCAGUGACAGACUGCUGCAUCCUCGAUGCAUGAAGGAGCGUUUCUGCAGGUCCUUCCUCCCUGCAGCUGUCAGACUGUACAAUCAGAACUGCU